UACGUAGGGGGCAAGCGUUGUCCGGAAUUAUUGGGCGUAAAGCGCGCGCAGGUGGUUCCUUAAGUCUGAUGUGAAAGCCCACGGCUCAACCGUGGAGGGUCAUUGGAAACUGGGGAACUUGAGUGCAGAAGAGGAAAGUGGAAUUCCAUGUGUAGCGGUGAAAUGCGUAGAGAUGUCGAGGAACACCGGUGGCGAAGGCGACUUUCUGGUCUGUAACUGACGCUGAGGCUCGAACGCGUGGGGAGCAAACAGG
This 253-nucleotide unclassified non-coding RNA is filed under the name uncultured Bacillaceae bacterium. RNAcentral's name for it is "contains 16S-23S intergenic spacer region". It matches the Rfam family "Bacterial small subunit ribosomal RNA", at positions 524 to 776 of the family's 1533-position model. The record is from RNAcentral. Lineage: Bacteria; Bacillati; Bacillota; Bacilli; Caryophanales; Bacillaceae.